This 279-nucleotide unclassified non-coding RNA is filed under the name fungal sp. Its description in RNAcentral is "partial internal transcribed spacer region". The stretch from base 1 to 46 matches the Rfam family "Eukaryotic small subunit ribosomal RNA", at positions 1786 to 1831 of the family's 1831-position model. The record is from RNAcentral. Lineage: Eukaryota; Fungi.
AAGUCGUAACAAGGUUUCCGUAGGUGAACCUGCGGAAGGAUCAUUAUCACGUAUCCACGUAUAAACCAUUGCGAACCGUUUUUCACCUCCGCUGGCGCAGCAUGUAUGGAAGCUUGAAGAGAAAUUUUUUCAAACUUGCUGCUGCUACGGAGCGUAUUCACUAUUAACCAUUUCAACCAAUCUUUAUAACUUUAUGAACUAAAUUUAUUUUAUACUCUUCGGAGAUAAAAUUCAUUACGAAACAAAGAACAACUCUUAGCAACGGAUAUCUUGGUUCUC